UAGAUGCCCAAUGGAUCGUUCAUCAAGCUCUCCCUUCUCUUGGAAACGAGGGAGAAGCAAAAGAUGGAAAGGCUCCUUGGAGAGGGGUGAGGGAUAGAUGUAGAAAGGAAUGGACAAUGUUUCAAACUAGAGUAGCAAAUGCAGAGAAAGCCUAUUUCAAGUCUAUAGGAGUUGAUCCUUCCAAUUUUACCUCUUAUUAAGUCAACAUGAUCAAGUUGACAGUAUACAAAAAAAUUCUGGCAAUUUUGCCUAGGAUGUUAGGUGCCUCCAUCUUGUAAAAUUAAUAGCUGUUAGUUGUUAUGAAUGAUAACAAUAAUUUUUUAAAGGAAAGUAUA
RNAcentral lists this unclassified non-coding RNA (335 nucleotides) under Hevea brasiliensis (rubber tree). Lineage: Eukaryota; Viridiplantae; Streptophyta; Magnoliopsida; Malpighiales; Euphorbiaceae. The record is from RNAcentral.